UGGGGAAUUGUUCACAAUGGGCGCAAGCCUGAUGACGCAACGCCGCGUGGGGGAUGAAGGCCUUCGGGUCGUAAACCCCUGUCGAAUGGGACGAAUAGCCCGCGAUUUAACAAAACGCGGGAAUGACGGUACCGUUCAAGGAAGCCACGGCUCACUCUGUGCCAGCAGCCGCGGUAAUACAGCGGUGGCAAGCGUUGUUCGGAAUUACUGGGCGUAAAGGGCGCGUAGGCGGCCUUCUAAGUCAGACGUGAAAUCCCCCGGCUUAACCUGGGAACUGCAUUUGUGACUGCACAGCUGGAGUGCGGCAGAGGGGGAUGGAAUUCCGCGUGUAGCAGUGAAAUGCGUAGAUAUGCGGAGGAACACCGAUGGCGAAGGCAAUCCCCUGGGCCUGCACUGACGCUCAUGCACGAAAGCGUGGGGAGCAAA
This 426-nucleotide ribosomal RNA is filed under the name uncultured bacterium. RNAcentral's name for it is "bacterial SSU rRNA". It matches the Rfam family "Bacterial small subunit ribosomal RNA", at positions 355 to 772 of the family's 1533-position model. The record is from RNAcentral.